This 224-nucleotide unclassified non-coding RNA is filed under the name Hevea brasiliensis (rubber tree). Lineage: Eukaryota; Viridiplantae; Streptophyta; Magnoliopsida; Malpighiales; Euphorbiaceae. The record is from RNAcentral.
UUUUUAAUUAAGCAUUGAAUAGUUAUGCUACAAGUUUCAGAGGUGGUUCUUUUUCUGGGUAAUGUAAAAUGCAACUUGAAUACUGGCAUGGGCUUUCAAUUUGUAGGAAUUUUCUUGUCUCAUUGGAAAAUGGAUCCAUAAAUGCCAGAGGACAAGUAUCACUGAUUCACACACACACAAGUAGAGAUAAAGUUAAUUAAAACAAAGUAAUCAUAGAAUACAGG